This is a long non-coding RNA of Camelina sativa (false flax), 521 nucleotides long. RefSeq lists it as uncharacterized. Lineage: Eukaryota; Viridiplantae; Streptophyta; Magnoliopsida; Brassicales; Brassicaceae. The record is from RefSeq and is a predicted model, not a curated record.
CUUUCUUCAACUAAAAAAAACAAAUACGAUGUCUCUCAUUCAUAUUCCGCGAAAGAAAGCGAGACAAAAAUAAACAAGUGCAAUGGUCGAUACCAAUUACUCUCAAUGGAAUACUCAUUUGAGCAAGAUGUUGGCAUGAAAUUGCAGUGGUGAAGGACGAGCCGAAUCUAUUUCCAAAGUGCCUCGACCUCGAUCCUUCACGUCAAUAUUCAAAACAUAGUCUGAAUCUAAUUGUCGACUAUGUAUAAUUAAUAAAAUGAAUACAUGGCUAGCCUAGAGAAAAAAGUUUUAACAAUUUUGUCAUUUCCAUUAAUAGUCUAAAUAGUUAUUUUCAGAGCCGGCCCAGACCGGAAGCUGGUGAAGCAAAAGCUUUAAGCAUCAUUUUUUUUUUUGUAAUUUUAGGGGCAUCAAUUUUUAGUUUGUACGUCUGAAUUGUCUUCUACCUUUUAUUAUCUCUUCUUUUUAUUUGUUUUAUAUUUGGAGUCUAGUUAUUUAAAGUAUACAUUUUGGAUUUUAUAUCA